RNAcentral lists this long non-coding RNA (1254 nucleotides) under Chlamydomonas reinhardtii. RNAcentral describes it as "long non-coding RNA (CREI_LNC001053)". The record is from RNAcentral. Lineage: Eukaryota; Viridiplantae; Chlorophyta; Chlorophyceae; Chlamydomonadales; Chlamydomonadaceae.
UUGAGGGCGCGAAGGGUGCUCGGGUACCUAGGUAGGCUCCGCACUCGCCAUCAGCUUUGCUGCGACGUCCCAUCCCGCCCAUCCGUGCAUGGGACCAGCCCUUGCGUACUGUGGCACCACGCGCACCCGCCCGCGUGCGGGUAACACUUCCAAGCAUGUUACUCCUCCCAAGCUAUGCAGCUCUAACUCACACAGGCGGGCGGCGGCCAGCAUCUCAUUGACGGUGUUGAUCAUGGCGGUGUUGACAUAGCUCUUGCCGAGGAAGGUGGUGCCCAUGGCGGCGCCCAGGGAGGAGGCCCAGCCGGACAGGGUGCCGCAGUUGUUGGCGGCGCCGCCGGCCCACAGCGCCCAGGCCUCAUCCACGUUGUGGGGUGCGCCUGGGGCGGGCGGGGACAGUAAGGUGAACGCUUAUGUCAGUUGCACCACGGGGCGCAGGUGAAGUAGCAAAAUACAUAAAUCCCGCGCACUGCUGAGCACCCAUCCACGCACUGCUGAGCGCUUGACAGCGAGCACCGUGCUGCGAUGCCGCAAACAACGCACCCGAGGCGUCAGAAACCAGGUUGGUGAGGUUGCCGGUGCCGUCAGCCAGGUAGGUCUUGAUCUUGUUGUAGGCCUCAUCCACCUCGUGCAGGUGGUACUUGAGCGUGCCCACCUGGAUCAGACCGGCGGCCAGGGUGGCCUUGCCGUCGGCCAGGGCAGCCCUGCGGGGGAUUAGAAGGGUGAGCGAGCGGAGCGGGCAGGGGCGUGAUUGGGGGUUGAGCCAGAUCACGGACGGAGUCAAGGGUUCCGCCAGCAAGCUGCGCAGCUGGGUUUUGAGGCAGAUCUCGGACGGGGUCAGGGGACCCGCAAGCAAAUAGAGGAAAUCUCAUCGAUGCAGGCAGCGAUGUGACAGCGAGCAGGGUGCGUGUUCUCAAUGUACCUCCACUCAUUAUUUUCAUCAUUAUUUUCAGUGGAGCGAGGCUACCCGUCAGCCGGCGGCUUACCGGAUGGCGGCGUCCAGGGAGGACGUGUCCUUGCCGGCCAGGAUGGAGUCGUGCAGCGGCUCCACGGAGCCGUUGGCGGUGAUGUACGAGGCGAAGCGCUGCGGAGGAGGCAGGGCGCGGGGAUGACGUGCGGGAAGACGUGAGGCCAAGGCCCAAAGGCAGGGGUAGGAAAGGGUUCCAAACCAUGCAAGCGCCCCCGCAACCCACGGCUGAAACGGCUGCAUGGGCAGGCGGUAGGUAAAGGCAUGAUCACCCAUCAGGGACGGACGCA